CCCUUAGAUGUUCUGGGCCGCACGCGCGCUACACUGACGAAGUCAGCGAGCAUGUCCUACGCCGACAGGUGCGGGGAAUCUUGUCAAACUUCGUCGUGAUGGGGAUUGAUUAUUGAAAUUCUUGAUCAUCAACGAGGAAUUCCUAGUAAGCGCAAGUCAUCAUCUUGCAUUGAUUACGUCCCUGCCCUUUGUACACACCGCCCGUCGCUCCUACCGAUUGAAUGUUCCGGCGAACACUUUGGAAUAGUGCCUUUGUAUGGGGAAACUUGUACUUGGAUACUGUAAAGUUGUGUAAACCUUAACAUUUAGAGGAAGGAGAAGUCGUAACG
Molecule: ribosomal RNA, 329 nt
Filed under: uncultured eukaryote
Lineage: Eukaryota
Description: partial 18S ribosomal RNA
Rfam family: Eukaryotic small subunit ribosomal RNA
Source: RNAcentral